RNAcentral lists this transfer RNA (91 nucleotides) under Spirochaetota bacterium. Its description in RNAcentral is "Spirochaetes bacterium tRNA-Leu". It matches the Rfam family "tRNA". Rfam says of the family: Transfer RNA (tRNA) molecules are approximately 80 nucleotides in length. The record is from RNAcentral. Lineage: Bacteria; Pseudomonadati; Spirochaetota.
AGCACUGUAGACAAAUGGCAAAGUCCGUAGGUUUAGGCCCUAUGUGCAAGUUAAAAGCUUGGUAGGGGUUCGAGUCCCCUCAGUGCUACAA